This 537-nucleotide ribosomal RNA is filed under the name uncultured bacterium. RNAcentral describes it as "bacterial SSU rRNA". It matches the Rfam family "Bacterial small subunit ribosomal RNA", at positions 8 to 523 of the family's 1533-position model. The record is from RNAcentral.
AGAGUUUGAUCCUGGCUCAGAUUGAACGCUGGCGGCGUGCUUAACACAUGCAAGUCGAACGGGAUCCAGAGCUUGCUCUGGUGAGAGUGGCGCACGGGUGAGUAACGCGUGGAUAACCUGCCCUGGUAUCCGGAAUAACAUCUCGAAAGGGGUGCUAAUACCGGAUAAGCCUACGGAGCCCUCGGUCUCUGCAGGAAAAGGUGGCCUCUAUUUAUAAGCUACCGUAUCAGGAUGGGUCCGCGUACCAUUAGCUAGUUGGUGGGGUAAUGGCCUACCAAGGCGACGAUGGUUAGCUGGUCUGAGAGGAUGAUCAGCCACACUGGAACUGAGACACGGUCCAGACUCCUACGGGAGGCAGCAGUGGGGAAUUUUGCGCAAUGGGGGAAACCCUGACGCAGCAACGCCGCGUGAGUGAUGAAGGCUUUCGGGUCGUAAAGCUCUGUCAGAGGGGAAGGAAUGAGAUUGGCUAAUAUCCAAUUUUCUUGACGGUACCCUCAAAGGAAGCACCGGCUAACUCCGUGCCAGCAGCCGCGGUAA